RNAcentral lists this ribosomal RNA (424 nucleotides) under uncultured prokaryote. RNAcentral's name for it is "bacterial SSU rRNA". It matches the Rfam family "Bacterial small subunit ribosomal RNA", at positions 355 to 796 of the family's 1533-position model. The record is from RNAcentral.
UGGGGAAUAUUGGACAAUGCGGGCAACCGUGAUCCAGCAAUGCCGCGUGAGUGAAGAAGGCCUUAGGGUUGUAAAGCUCUUUUACCCGGGAUGAUAAUGACAGUACCGGGAGAAUAAGCCCCGGCUAACUCCGUGCCAGCAGCCGCGGUAAUACGGAGGAUGCAAGCGUUAUCCGGAAUAAUUGGGCGUAAAGCGUUCGUAGGUGGUUUUGUAAGUCUGCUGUUAAAGCGUGUAGCUCAACUACAUAUAGGCGGUGGAAACUACAAAACUUGAGUGCGUUCGGGGCAGAGGGAAUUCCUGGUGUAGCGGUGAAAUGCGUAGAUAUCAGGAAGAACACCGGUGGCGAAGGCGCUCUGCUAGGCCGCAACUGACACUGAGGGACGAAAGCUAGGGGAGCGAAUGGGAUUAGAUACCCCCGUAGUCC